UACAGAGGGUGCGAGCGUUGUCCGGAAUCACUGGGCGUAAAGGGCGCGUAGGCGGCUUGGUAAGGUUGCGGUGAAAGCCCGGGGCUCAACCCCGGGUCGGCCGUGGCAACUGCUGAGCUGGAGCACUGUAGAGGCAGGUGGAAUUCCGGGUGUAGCGGUGAAAUGCGCAGAUAUCAGGAGGAACACCGGUGGCGAAGGCGGGUCUCUGGGCCGAUACUGACGCUGAGGAGCGAAAGCAUGGGUAGCGAACAGG
RNAcentral lists this ribosomal RNA (253 nucleotides) under uncultured bacterium. RNAcentral describes it as "partial 16S ribosomal RNA". It matches the Rfam family "Bacterial small subunit ribosomal RNA", at positions 524 to 776 of the family's 1533-position model. The record is from RNAcentral.